RNAcentral lists this ribosomal RNA (252 nucleotides) under uncultured bacterium. RNAcentral's name for it is "partial 16S ribosomal RNA". It matches the Rfam family "Bacterial small subunit ribosomal RNA", at positions 524 to 776 of the family's 1533-position model. The record is from RNAcentral.
UACAGAGGGUGCGAGCGUUAAUCGGAAUUACUGGGCGUAAAGCGCGCGUAGGCGGCUUGUUAAGUCAAAUGUGAAAUCCCCGAGCUUAACUUGGGCAUUCAUUCGAUACUGGCAAGCUAGAGUAUGGGAGAGGAAGGUAGAAUUCCAGGUGUAGCGGUGAAAUGCGUAGAGAUCUGGAGGAAUACCGAUGGCGAAGGCAGCCUUCUGGCCUAAUACUGACGCUGAGGUGCGAAAGCAUGGGGAGCAAACAGG